CGUCAGGAUGAACGCUAGCGACAGGCUACACAUGCAAGUCGAGGGCAGCAUAGAAGUAGACAUACGUUCGUGGGCGACCGGCGCACGGGUGAGUAACGCGUAUGCAACCUACCUAUCAGAGGGGAAUAACCGGCGAAAGUCGGACUAAUACCGCAUAAACAGGGGCACCGCAUGGUGAUAUUUGUUAAGAAAUUCGCUGAUAGAUGGGCAUGCGUUCCAUUAGGUAGUUGGUGAGGUAACGGCUCACCAAGCCGACGAUGGAUAGGGGAACUGAGAGGUUGGUCCCCCACACUGGUACUGAGACACGGACCAGACUCCUACGGGAGGCAGCAGUGAGGAAUAUUGGUCAAUGGGCGGGAGCCUGAACCAGCCAAGUCGCGUGAAGGAAGAAGGAUCUAUGGUUCGUAAACUUCUUUUGCAGGGGAAUAAAGUGCAGGACGUGUCCUGUUUUGUAUGUACCCUGAGAAUAAGGAUCGGCUAACUCCGUGCCAGCCGCCGC
RNAcentral lists this ribosomal RNA (499 nucleotides) under uncultured bacterium. Its description in RNAcentral is "bacterial SSU rRNA". It matches the Rfam family "Bacterial small subunit ribosomal RNA", at positions 22 to 518 of the family's 1533-position model. The record is from RNAcentral.